RNAcentral lists this ribosomal RNA (2378 nucleotides) under Arenotus strixinoi. RNAcentral describes it as "eukaryotic LSU rRNA". It matches the Rfam family "Eukaryotic large subunit ribosomal RNA", at positions 39 to 2125 of the family's 3401-position model. The record is from RNAcentral. Lineage: Eukaryota; Metazoa; Gastrotricha; Chaetonotida; Chaetonotidae.
CAUAUCACUAAGCGGAGAAAAAGAAAAUAACUAUGAUUCCUAAAGUAACGGCGAGUGAAAUAGGAUCAGCCCAUAGCCGAAUUCGGCUGUCCUCGACGGCAGCUCGAAGUUGUGGCGUUGGGAACUGCCUACAGUAACCUAUCAGCUUGACUACGCGACUCCUCUUGAUUGUGGUUUGCCCAUAGCAGGUGAAAGGCCUAUUGCCGUAGUCAUACUAGCUGGUGGUGAUGGCAGUCCUUAGAGUCGGGUUGUUUGGGAUUGCAGCCCGAAGCAGGUGGUAAACUCCACCUAAGGCUAAAUACGAUCGCGAGUCCGAUAGCGCACAAGUACCGUGAGGGACAGUUGAAAAGAACUUUGAAGAGAGAGUUCAAAGUACGUGAAACCGUUCAGAGGUAAACGGGUAGAAAGUCGAAUUGAUUGCUGACAAUCAGACUGGCGACCAAGUCGAAGUUGGGUUGAUAGCACGUUAAAGGCUGUCAAUUUGCUUGUCGGGCUGGUUACGGUUGUAUUUGUUGGCUUUCGUUCGCCGCGACGGCAGUGUCUGACCGGCUGGCGUUUAUUCCUCUGGUCGAUGUAAAUCCGUUUGGGUUUCCACGUCGGCACACGGAUAGGCGUCCCGCGUACUUAGCACAGUCGAUGGUUACAGCGGUUUAAGUGUACUGUCUGGUUGUCGUUCGUUUUGUAUCGGUAGUCUGAUCUUAAACAAGUUCACCUGCUGACAUCAGGGCGGCGGCAGCUGGUUUAACGACGGUAUAAACAUCGCAUUGGCGGCGUUUGACUACGAAUUAUCUACCUGACCCGUCUUGAAACACGGACCAAGGAGUCUAACCUGUGCGCAAGUUAUUGGGAGUAUGAAACCCAAAAGCGAAGUGAAAGCAAAAAUGGUGAGAUCUGUCGUUUAUUUGUUAAGAAUAGCGGCAGCGCAUCAUCGUCACGCCUCGAUUCGGCUUCGGCUGAAGAGGCGCAGACUGAGCGCACAAGUUGGGACCCGAAAGAUGGUGAACUAUGCGAGGCGAGGUCGAAGCCAGAGGAAACUCUGGUGGAGGACUGUAGCGGUUCUAACGUGCAAAUUGAUCGUCGCAGCUUCGUAUAGGGGCGAAAGACUAAUCGAACCAUCUAGUAGCUGGUUCCCUCCGAAGUUUCCCUCAGGAUAGCUGGCACUUUCGGAGAGCAGUUUUGUCCGGUAAAGCGAAUGACUAGAGGCCUUGGGGACAUAACGACCUCAACCUAUUCUCAAACUUUGAAUGGGCAAGAAGGGUGACUCACUUAAUUGGAGUUGCUUCAUUGUGAAUGCUUGAGUGCCAAGUGGGCCAUUUUUGGUAAGCAGAACUGGCGCUGUGGGAUGAACCAAACGUUUAGCUAAGGUGCCAAAUGCUGACGCUCAUCCGAACCCAUUAAAGGUGUUGGUUGAUAGAGACAGCAGGACGGUGGCCAUGGAAGUCGGAACCCGCCAAGGAGUGUGUAACAACUCACCUGCCGAAUCAACCAGUCCUGAAAAUGGAUGGCGCUGAAGCGUCGCGAACCUAUGCUAAACCGGCUUUGCAACUUUUCAGAUCACGCAAAGCCGAGUAGGAGGGUCGCUGUGGUAUGCGUUGAAGCUUUGGGCGAGGGCCCGAGUCGAGCUGCCACAGGUGCAGAUCUUGGUGGUAGUAGCAAAUAUUCAAACGAGAACUUUGAAGGCCGAAGUGGAGAAGGGUUCCAUGUGAACAGCAUUUGAACAUGGGUUAGUCGGUCCUAAGCGAUAGGCAAAUGCCGUUCUGAAAGCAGGCUUAAAUUUUAACAAUUGAUGCCUGAUUUUGGUCGAAAGGGAAUCGGGUUAAUAUUCCCGAACCUGGACGCGGAGAUGGAAUUGUGGGCAACUGCAAUUCAGUGCGGUAACGCAAACGAUCUCGGAUUCGUCGGCGGGAGUCCUGGGAAGAGUUCUCUCUUCUUUGUAAGGGGCUGACUCCCUGGAAUCGGCUUAGCCGGAGAUAGGGAUAUUGCAAAAGCGCCCGUAAAGCACCACACUUCUUGUGGUGUCCGGUGCACGACUGUCGACACUUAAAAAUCCGAGCUAGACGUUCAUAAUGUUCGCGCCAGGCCGUACCCAUAUCCGCAGCAGGUCUCCAAGGUGAACAGCCUCUGGCCUUAGACUGAUGUAGUCAAGGGAAGUCGGCAAAUUGGAUCCGUAACUUCGGAACAAGGAUUGGCUCUAUGGGUUGGGCCGUGACGGGCUGUGCUAGGAAGCGAUGCUUGCUAUUGGUGCUUCGGGUCUGACUGGCAACGGUUGGGCCUAGCGCCGAUUGGCAGCGCGUGGAUCUGGCAUGGCUUCUGUCGGUGAUCUUCGGGUCGUCGGCAUCGUUCGGCAGCAAGCAACCGCCAUAGAACUGGUACGGACC